GACGAACGCUGGCGGCGUGCCUAAUACAUGCAAGUAGGACGCAGUUGCGAACGGGUGAGUAACGCGUAGGUAACUACCUAUUAGAGGGGGAUAACUAUUGGAAAAGAUAGCUAAUACCGCAUACUAGUAGAUGGACCUUCUUUUUAUUAGCUAGUAGGUAGGGUAAUGGCCUACCUAGGCAAACAUACAUAGCCGACCGUAGAGGGUGAUCGGCCACACGGGGACUGAGACACGUCCCAGACGACUACGGGAGGCAGCAGUAGGGAAUCUUCGGGAAUGGGGGGAACCCUGAUCGGUAAACGCCGCGUGAGUGAAGAAGGUUUUCGGAUCGUAAAGCUCUGUUGUUAAGGAAGCGGUACUUAACCAGAAAGGGACGGCUAACUACGUGCCAGCAGCCGCGGUAAUUC
This 407-nucleotide ribosomal RNA is filed under the name uncultured bacterium. RNAcentral's name for it is "partial 16S ribosomal RNA". It matches the Rfam family "Bacterial small subunit ribosomal RNA", at positions 28 to 526 of the family's 1533-position model. The record is from RNAcentral.